RNAcentral lists this unclassified non-coding RNA (82 nucleotides) under Flavobacterium caeni. RNAcentral's name for it is "Flavo-1 RNA". The record is from RNAcentral. Lineage: Bacteria; Pseudomonadati; Bacteroidota; Flavobacteriia; Flavobacteriales; Flavobacteriaceae.
CCCUAGCCCCGAUUGAGGCAUUGUCGGAGCUCUUUUGCGGAGCCCGCGCAGCAAAAAGCGACUGCCGAAAGCGGGAAACAGC